RNAcentral lists this ribosomal RNA (408 nucleotides) under uncultured bacterium. Its description in RNAcentral is "bacterial SSU rRNA". It matches the Rfam family "Bacterial small subunit ribosomal RNA", at positions 100 to 507 of the family's 1533-position model. The record is from RNAcentral.
ACGGUGAGUAAUGCCUAGGAAUCUGCCUGGUAGUGGGGGAUAACGUCCGGAAACGGACGCUAAUACCGCAUACGUCCUACGGGAGAAAGCAGGGGACCUUCGGGCCUUGCGCUAUCAGAUGAGCCUAGGUCGGAUUAGCUAGUUGGUGGGGUAAUGGCUCACCAAGGCGACGAUCCGUAACUGGUCUGAGAGGAUGAUCAGUCACACUGGAACUGAGACACGGUCCAGACUCCUACGGGAGGCAGCAGUGGGGAAUAUUGGACAAUGGGCGAAAGCCUGAUCCAGCCAUGCCGCGUGUGUGAAGAAGGUCUUCGGAUUGUAAAGCACUUUAAGUUGGGAGGAAGGGCAGUAAAUUAAUACUUUGCUGUUUUGACGUUACCGACAGAAUAAGCACCGGCUAACUACUGU